RNAcentral lists this ribosomal RNA (401 nucleotides) under uncultured bacterium. RNAcentral's name for it is "bacterial SSU rRNA". It matches the Rfam family "Bacterial small subunit ribosomal RNA", at positions 355 to 773 of the family's 1533-position model. The record is from RNAcentral.
UGGGGAAUUUUGCGCAAUGGGGGAAACCCUGACGCAGCAACGCCGCGUGGAGGAUGAAGUCCUUCGGGACGUAAACUCCUUUCGAUCGGGACGAUUAUGACGGUACCGGAAGAAGAAGCCCCGGCUAACUUCGUGCCAGCAGCCGCGGUAAGACGAGGGGGGCGAGCGUUGUUCGGAAUUAUUGGGCGUAAAGGGUGCGUAGGCGGUUUGGUAAGUCUGAUGUGAAAUCUAUGGGCUCAACUCAUAGUCUGCAUCGGAAACUGCCGGGCUUGAGUGUGGGAGAGGUGAGUGGAAUUUCCGGUGUAGCGGUGAAAUGCGUAGAUAUCGGAAGGAACACCUGUGGCGAAAGCGGCUCACUGGACCACAACUGACGCUGAGGCACGAAAGCUAGGGGAGCAAAC